This 140-nucleotide unclassified non-coding RNA is filed under the name uncultured Mortierella. RNAcentral describes it as "sequence contains ITS1". The record is from RNAcentral. Lineage: Eukaryota; Fungi; Mortierellomycota; Mortierellomycetes; Mortierellales; Mortierellaceae.
UAAUAAGUGUUUAUGGCACUUCUUAAAUCCAUAUCCACCUUGUGUGCAAUGUCAGCCGUUCUCCUUAUGGAAUCGGCCAAACAUCAACUUAUUUUUUAACUGUCUGUCUGAAAACUAUUAUGAAUAAAACAAUUCAAAUA